GAGGCGGAGGGCGAGGCGGCGCGGGGCCCCCGCGUUGCUGCGGCUGCGCCGGGUCUGGUGCGAGGCGAGCGAGGAGCUGCUGGGAGAUUGCGCGGUGCACGUCUGGAAGCACAGAAAUUCUCUGCUGCUUCCCAUAUGGCUCAUGGAAGGACCUAAAGGCCCAGACUGACAGAUGUCCUACGACUCCCUCAUCAGUGUGCGUCAGAGGUCUUUUGCGCAAGAAUUGCAAGUAAACUUUCACCAAAGUACCAGGGGGAUUUUGGGCGGCCACCCUUCCAAGCAUCAUGUGUGAACAUGAAGCACGUGCAGUGUGAGAGACAUGCUGUUAUGGAGGCACCUCUUGGUGGCAUGGGUGCAUGAUCUGGCCCAGAACAUUUGUAGUGCAGAGCCCUUCCAAGUCCCCAUUCCAGACGGCACCUGUGCUUCUGAAUAAGAGACUCGAGUGUGGCAUGGGGCAGGAAUUUUUGCCUGCACUGUCAAAGGACUUGGGUGUACCUGAGAGAGGGGAGCCGUCACAGGGCCCUGAUCCUGGGUGCUUUGGGGAAAGGGUCCUCAGAGCACAGCAACGCAGCUUGAAAUGCAGGAAGCCCGCCCUCAUUCCCAGGUGCAACAGCAGGAAGACCCAACACAAGAGCACGUGGUCUUCUCCGUUGAAGAUGCGUUCAAGGCCCCAACAGCAGAAAGCUUUCCAAAAAUGCAAGGCAGAAAUACAGAGGACCACUAAAUGUUAUCUGUGAAAGUUUCGGGUUGCGCGGGGAGGAAAAAGCCCUCCCUGCCUUCUGGCUUGAUCAAGACAGAGAUGCCGGGCUGCCCAUCAUGGAGUGUUCCUCUUUUCCUCUUGCAACCUCCCUAGCUUCCCUUUUAAUAUCUGCUCUCUGCUCAUGCUGCUAACCUUCCUUUCCCAACCGAGCAUUUCCCUCUGCAGACAAACCAUCUUUCAGCUAACUGCAGAAAGAAGCAAUCAUCACAAACUCACAGGGGCUCCUGCUUUCCUACUGCAAGAGCUGGCGUUUUGGGAAGCAGCUCCCCUCGCCUUCACUCAAGCGACUAAUGAAUUCUGGCUGAGAACCCAGGACGGGCAGCAGAAGAUGGAGAUCUGCAUUAAACAUGCUUCUGAACCAAGCACAGACUAAAAACGGAUGCUAUACACAAUUGCGAGUUACUAAUAAACACAUUAAAAAAAAAUUAAAAAGAAUUUGUAGAUAAUUUACACUAUUUAAGAAAUGGCUUCGUAGAGCCCUCCGUUUUAAUUUGAGCCUCUUCACAGUCUGGGUUUUUGCCCCGAGGACAGACCCAGGUGUUGGGAAACGGGCAUGAAACAUAAUGGCAGGGUUAGGCCUCCCCUCCACCAAUUGCACAUGGGCCCUGGAUCGUGGCCAGUGUGUCAACGUAUUUUUUUCAGCCUGGGUUUUCCCAUAAGCAAGUUUCAGACCGGGUGCCUCUCCCUAGACUGCAAAACACCCCCAAUGCCGUCCUCCAAUUACUUUUUACUUGUCUCUUGGUAGCCAUUGCGGGGGUACGUGUAGGUUUCUGGCUGCAUAGCCUUAAACAAAUCCUAUGCCUUGUUGCCAGGUUUAAGUAACAAAUAGCACCAUUAAAAAAUAACAUAAAAUAUAUGGCUUUUAGAGUCAGUUCUGUUGAAUUCUCCCUGGCCACAAAAAGUAUUCUGAGCUUCCAUUGAGCUUGCAGUGCGUUGCAUAUAGAAGGCAAAAUGUGUCCCUCUUCCAAUCUAGCCGAGCGCUCCAGAGAAGAGCCCUCAAAGCGGGCAGGAAAGCCAGAUUCACUCUUUACAAAAAGCGUGCCCAGGCCUCAUGUCCAUUACAACAUAUUCUCCGUGAAGACAGCACUGGCUGCCCUUCCAAACCAGCAGCGUAUGUCUCUUCCAGAAAGGGAGUGGUGAGGCUAGGCAGUAUAUAUCCUAUCCCUCUCAGCCUCCAGCCUGUUCACCGGAGGUAAACUUUUAUCAGCACAAAACAGCUGUAGGGAAAGAGGCCGCCCUGGGAGAAGAGUCCAUCAACAAGGCAAAGCAGGGAAGUUAUGCCCAGGUUUUGCCAGGAUAGGCCAAGGUUUUGCCACUACUGAGAGGCACCUCUUGGCAUUAUUACAUUUCCUGA
This is a long non-coding RNA of Eublepharis macularius, 2114 nucleotides long. RefSeq lists it as uncharacterized. Lineage: Eukaryota; Metazoa; Chordata; Lepidosauria; Squamata; Eublepharidae. The record is from RefSeq and is a predicted model, not a curated record. The transcript is spliced from 3 exons.